UAUAUCCUUUGAUGUGGCUCUCUCUCUCUCUCUAUGUUGUGGCCGCAGGACAGAGAAGAACCAGAUGGGACUAGGACUGUAGAUUGGCUUGUGGUGAAGAGGGAGAGAGGGAGGAAGCAACAUAUAUAAAGAAGUUCCCUCACAAAUGUUGAAAGACAGACAGGCAGACACUCACAGACAGGCAGGCAGACACUCACAGACAGACAGGCAGGCAGACACUCACAGACAGGCAGGCAGACACUCACAGACAGGCAGGCAGACACUCACAGACAGGCAGGCAGACACUCACAGACAGGCAGGCAGACACUCACAGACAGGCAGGCAGGCAGGCAGGCAGACACUCACAGACAGACAGGCAGGCAGACACUCACAGACAGGCAGGCAGGCAGGCAGGCAGACACUCACAGACAGACAGGCAGGCAGGCAGACACUCACAGACAGGCAGGC
Oncorhynchus tshawytscha (Chinook salmon) is the source of this 447-nucleotide long non-coding RNA. NCBI's taxonomy places the organism in Eukaryota, Metazoa, Chordata, Actinopteri, Salmoniformes, Salmonidae. The record is from Ensembl.